GACGAACGCUGGCGGCGUGCUUAACACAUGCAAGUCGAGCGGUAAGGCCCUUUCGGGGGUACACGAGCGGCGAACGGGUGAGUAACACGUGGGUGACCUGCCCUCAGCUCUGGGAUAAGCCUGGGAAACCGGGUCUAAUACUGGAUAUGACUCCAUGACGCAUGUUGUGGGGUGGAAAGCCUUGUGCGGCUGAGGAUGGGCCCGCGGCCUAUCAGCUUGUUGGUGGGGUAAGGCCCACCAAGGCUUCGAUCGGUAGCCGGCCUGAGAGGGCGGACGGCCACACUGGGACUGAGACACGGCCCAGACUCCUACGGGAGGCAGCAGUGGGGAAUUUUUCGCAAUGGGGGAAACCCUGACGAAGCAACGCCGCGUGGAGGAUGAAGGCCU
This 387-nucleotide ribosomal RNA is filed under the name uncultured bacterium. RNAcentral describes it as "bacterial SSU rRNA". It matches the Rfam family "Bacterial small subunit ribosomal RNA", at positions 28 to 417 of the family's 1533-position model. The record is from RNAcentral.